CAUGGAGGGUGAGAAUCCCGUUCAUGGUUAAUCUUAAGGAAGCUCUACGAUACGUUUUCCAAGAGUCGAGUUGUUUGGGAUUGCAGCUCAAAAUGGGAGGUAAAUUUCUCCUAAGGCUAAAUAUUGGCGAGAGACCGAUAGCGAACAAGUACCGUGAGGGAAAGAUGAAAAGAACUUUGAAAAGAGAGUUAAACAGUACGUGAAAUUGUUGAAAGGGAAACGAUUGAAGUCAGUCAUACCAACGGGAAAUCAACCUCUUGAGCUCGGUCUCGUGGGUUUUGAAGAGUUUCAAAGCCUUCGGAUUCGCGAGAUUGGGAUCUCUUGGUGUACUUUUCCGUACGGUUAGUCAACAUCGGUUUUGUAUGUCAUAAAAUGACUGGAGGAAUGUAGCUUCGAUCUCGUAUUGAAGUGUUAUAGCCUUUGGUAGAUGUGAUGUUUGAGACCGAGGAUUGCAACGGAUACCCUUCAGGGCUAUUCGUCUGAUCUCUGAUACGUUGCCUUGAUGUUGAAAGCUCGCUUAUGAUGUUAGGGUAUUACGGUCAAAAGGUUAGAACGAAUUACAUUCGUUAAGGAUGUUGACGUAAUGG
RNAcentral lists this ribosomal RNA (587 nucleotides) under uncultured Funneliformis. RNAcentral describes it as "LSU rRNA". It matches the Rfam family "Eukaryotic large subunit ribosomal RNA", at positions 204 to 637 of the family's 3401-position model. The record is from RNAcentral. Lineage: Eukaryota; Fungi; Glomeromycota; Glomeromycetes; Glomerales; Glomeraceae.